Molecule: ribosomal RNA, 159 nt
Filed under: uncultured Bacillus sp.
Lineage: Bacteria; Bacillati; Bacillota; Bacilli; Caryophanales; Bacillaceae
Description: partial 16S ribosomal RNA
Rfam family: Bacterial small subunit ribosomal RNA
Source: RNAcentral
ACUACUCCUACGGGAGGCAGCCGUAGGGAAUCUUCCGCAAUGGACGAAAGUCUGACGGAGCCACGCCGCGUGAGUGAUGAAGGCCUUCGGGUCGUAAAAGUCUGUUGUUAGGGAAGAACAAGUGCUAGUUGAAUAAGCUGGCACCUGACGUAGCCUACC